Pelobates cultripes (western spadefoot toad) is the source of this 971-nucleotide non-coding RNA. The record is from the annotation of a GenBank genome assembly. Lineage: Eukaryota; Metazoa; Chordata; Amphibia; Anura; Pelobatidae.
CGGGUAUCAGAUGUACUGGAGUUCGACGUAGACGGUCUUUUCGGUAUCACCGGAAAGAAUGAUUUCUACAGUGUCUCGUAGAACUAUAUCUUAUCCGCGUCCGUAUCGUUCCCUGUUACCGACGGUUUCCCAGUCUUUGUGCAGUUAAAGCGGUACUUUGUUACAUGGAGAUCACGACAACACUUAGAAUGUCACAUUCAGGACAUCUGCUGGUCUUAUACCAACCGUACAAGCCAGUUACCAUGAACACUCUGCCUAGAUGGGUUCAUUGGUUGUUAUCGCUAGCGGGGGUAGAGACCUGUUUUGGGUACUCAUUCGGUAAGAGGCGCGGCUGCUUCUCAGGCCUUCACGAGGGGGCCUCUAUAUUUUCAGCGACGAAUUGGACACGGAUAGACUACUUCCGUAUAUUUAUUUUCGUCAACCACACACGCAUCCUUCUCGCUCAUACCACAGCUUUAAAAAUGCAAAAUAUGAAGCCUCCUGUCAUGUGAUAAAAUUGUAGAUUAUGCUAACGUAGUGAACCUAUAAUCUUAAUUUUAAUAAUGACAGGAGGCGAAUAUUUUCCCUCCCUGUUUCCCUCCCUAUACUCUGGAAAUUUUUUAUAUUCUGGUUUGUCAUUUUCUCAGUGUAAAUUAUAAGGUUAGGUAAUUCAGUAUAUUUAUGGGAUGCUUAUUUGGUUGAUAUGUGUUAGAUCCGUGUUGAUUAUUAAGUAUACUAUGGUUUGUUUAAUGUUUCAGUAUAUCAACUUAAUAUAAAUAUAGACACAUAUAGUACUGGAUUUAAUGUGGACAACAGUUGGUUUCCAUCACCUUUCACGUAUUUCUGUUCUUUUCAGCGUAAUCAUAGAUGGAUUCGACAAGAUAAAGCUGGAAGGUUUCAAGUUUCGUUUCAAGUUAUGUGCUACACGUUAAUCAGGACUGUUAUUUGAAUUCCCUGACGUUAUAAUAGACUGUUUUUCGCAUCAAAGAAAG